This 119-nucleotide transfer-messenger RNA is filed under the name Helicobacter pylori. Its description in RNAcentral is "partial transfer-messenger RNA". It matches the Rfam family "transfer-messenger RNA", at positions 1 to 129 of the family's 374-position model. Rfam says of the family: Bacterial tmRNA, also known as 10Sa RNA or SsrA, is named for its dual tRNA and mRNA-like properties. Lineage: Bacteria; Pseudomonadati; Campylobacterota; Epsilonproteobacteria; Campylobacterales; Helicobacteraceae. The record is from RNAcentral.
GGGGCUGACUUGGAUUUCGACAGAUUUCUUGUCGCGCAGAUAGCAUGCCAAGUGCUGCUUGUAAAACAGCAACAAAAAUAACUGUAAACAACGCAGAUUACGCUCCAGCUUACGCUAAG